RNAcentral lists this long non-coding RNA (406 nucleotides) under Mytilus galloprovincialis (Mediterranean mussel). The record is from RNAcentral. Lineage: Eukaryota; Metazoa; Mollusca; Bivalvia; Mytilida; Mytilidae.
GAAAAAUAAAAAAACAAAAAUAAAAAGUAAAAAUAAUAAAAACUAGAGGCUCUAAAGAGCCUGUGUCGCUCACCUUGGUCUAUGUGAAUAUUAAACAAAGGAAGCAGAUGGAUUCAUGACAAAAUUGUGUUUUGGUGAUGGUGAUGUGUUUGUACAUCUUACUUUACUAAACAGUCUUGCGGCUUACAAUUAUCUCUAUCUAUAAUGAACUUGGCCCAGUAGUUUCAGUGGAAAAUGUUAAUACAAAUUUACGAAUUUUAUGAAAAUUGUUAAAAAUUGACUAUAAAGGACAAUAACUCCUUAGGGGGUCAAUUGACCAUUUCGGUCAUUUGACUUAUUUGUAAAUCUUACUUUGCUGAACAUUAUUGCUGUUUACAGUUUAUCUCUAUCUAUAAUAAUAUUCAAG